AACGACUCACAUUGGCGUUGGAACGAUCCCACUUUUGAUUACUAUGCUCCCGAUUUGAAUAAGCAUCCUAGUUUUAGAUGGGUAGGUACUCAACAGCCUUUUGAGCAACGUAAUGUGCCACAAAAUUCAGAGUAUGGUUCGACUACUAAUACAUUAGAAUGUGUGAAGAGUUAUGAUAACAAGUUGGACGAUGAAAUUAAAGAACCACCUUCCAGUGACCCAUUCCUAAUGGAGGAAACAAACCCUGAUGAUUCUGAAAUUUCUCAAGAAUCAUUUCCCCUACUCAAGUCCAUACACCACACAUACCAUAUCAAGAUGGUGCAAAGCAAUCAACUAAGUUGCAAGUGUGCUUUGAAAUUGACAAAUUUGAUGUGAAUGUUCACACCAAUUUAGAAUUUGGAAAAUCACAUGACAAUGCACAUGCACAUCCAAUCAAACUUGAGGAAAUCCAGAAAGACUCCUACAAG
This 467-nucleotide long non-coding RNA is filed under the name Malus domestica (apple). RNAcentral's name for it is "long non-coding RNA (MDOM_LNC014927)". Lineage: Eukaryota; Viridiplantae; Streptophyta; Magnoliopsida; Rosales; Rosaceae. The record is from RNAcentral.